GCCCUCUUAGCUCAAUUGGCUAGAGCAACACCCUUGUAAUGUGUAGGUUGUCGGAUCGUACCCGAUGGAGGGCU
RNAcentral lists this transfer RNA (74 nucleotides) under Bacteriophage sp. RNAcentral describes it as "tRNA-Thr". It matches the Rfam family "tRNA". From Rfam's summary of the family: Transfer RNA (tRNA) molecules are approximately 80 nucleotides in length. Their secondary structure includes four short double-helical elements and three loops (D, anti-codon, and T loops). The record is from RNAcentral.